GGGGGAGCCACCGCCGCCGCCGGAGCCCGACGGAUCAGCUGGGAUCCGGGCGUGCCACUUUGUUCAGAGCCUCGGAGGCUGGGCGGUGCGUGCUCCUCCCGAGUUCCUCGUGCGAGCCGCCUCUCAGCCCUCCAUCUUCCCAGGACUUUUACGAGAGCUAGCCUGCGCUCCUGGCUGAGGAAGGAGAGCGGGUUUCAGAGUCCUGUGGGGGAGCUUUGCCUCCACCCCCCAGCUGAGACAAAUGAUGAGCCUAGGCUAUGUCUCUUGGGAGAGCUUCGCCUUCACUGCUGGCCCAAUAGGAGUGAGCCAUCAAAUAUGCUCAGUACGAACUGGAAGAGCAGCACUGCCUGCGCAGCCAGGGCUCCUGACAGCAGUGGCUGAGGAACAGGGAACCUCAAAAUAUCCUAGAUAUUUGAGGAUAUGAGAAGUUUUGGUCAUCAGUGAAAAGCCUUUGACUUGCCAGGAAAAAGGACAUGGGACCUCUUCCUCCUGGGUUGGCGUGGAGAAACUCUCGGAACCAAGGGAGAAGAAGGGCAGCCAAGCAUGCUCUGGCCCUUCUUGGGAAACUAAAAAUAAAUGAACUAAAAUGAAAAA
Molecule: long non-coding RNA, 594 nt
Filed under: Mus musculus (house mouse)
Lineage: Eukaryota; Metazoa; Chordata; Mammalia; Rodentia; Muridae
Description: predicted gene, 50019
Source: RNAcentral